Molecule: ribosomal RNA, 254 nt
Filed under: uncultured bacterium
Lineage: Bacteria
Description: partial 16S ribosomal RNA
Rfam family: Bacterial small subunit ribosomal RNA
Source: RNAcentral
UACGUAGGGGGCAAGCGUUACCCGGAUUCACUGGGCGUAAAGCGCGUGUAGGCGGCUGGCCAAGCGUGGUGUGAAAUCUCCGGGCUCAACCCGGAAACUGCACUGCGAACUGGCCUGGCUGGAGUGCAGGAGAGGGAUGCGGAAUUCACGGUGUAGCGGUGAAAUGCGUAAAUAUCGUGAGGAACACCAGUGGCGAAGGCGGCAUCCUGGCCUGUAACUGACGCUGAGACGCGAAAGCGUGGGGAGCGAACCGG